This 348-nucleotide unclassified non-coding RNA is filed under the name soil metagenome. RNAcentral's name for it is "partial contains 5.8S ribosomal RNA, internal transcribed spacer 2, and large subunit ribosomal RNA". The stretch from base 1 to 120 matches the Rfam family "5.8S ribosomal RNA", at positions 35 to 154 of the family's 154-position model. The record is from RNAcentral.
GAUGAAGAACGUAGCAAAAUGCGAUAAGUAAUGUGAAUUGCAGAAUUCAGUGAAUCAUCGAAUCUUUGAACGCACAUUGCGCCCGCUGGUAUUCCGGCGGGCAUGCCUGUUCGAGCGUCAUUUCAACCCUCAAGCCCCCGGGUUUGGUGUUGGGGAUCGGCUCUGCCCUUCUGGGCGGUGCCGCCCCCGAAAUACAUUGGCGGUCUCGCUGCAGCCUCCAUUGCGUAGUAGCUAACACCUCGCAACUGGAACGCGGCGCGGCCAUGCCGUAAAACCCCAACUUCUGAAUGUUGACCUCGGAUCAGGUAGGAAUACCCGCUGUACUUAAGCAUAUCAAUAAGCGGAGGA